Molecule: ribosomal RNA, 542 nt
Filed under: uncultured Glomus
Lineage: Eukaryota; Fungi; Glomeromycota; Glomeromycetes; Glomerales; Glomeraceae
Description: SSU rRNA
Rfam family: Eukaryotic small subunit ribosomal RNA
Source: RNAcentral
UUGGAGGGCAAGUCUGGUGUCCAGCAGCCGCGGUAAUUCCAGCUCCAAUAGCGUAUAUUAAAGUUGUUGCAGUUAAAAAGCUCGUAGUUGAAUUUCGAGAUCGGCUUACUGGUCGUGCUUUUGUACGUACUGGUAAAUCGGUUUCUCCUUUCUGACGAACUUUAAUGCCAUUAAUUUGGNGUUUUAGGGAAUCAGGACUGUUACUUUGAAAAAAUUAGAGUGUUUAAAGCAGGCUCACGCUUGAAUACAUUAGCAUGGAAUAACGGAAUAGGACGUUUGAUUCUAUUUAGUUGGUUUCUAGGAUCGACGUAAUGAUUAAUAGGGAUAGUUGGGGGCAUUAGUAUUCAAUUGUCAGAGGUGAAAUUCUUGGAUUUAUUGAAGACUAACUACUGCGAAAGCAUUUGCCAAGGAUGUUUUCAUUAAUCAAGAACGAAAGUUAGGGGAUCGAAGACGAUCAGAUACCGUCGUAGUCUUAACCAUAAACUAUGCCGACUAGGGAUCGGAUGAUGUUAAUUUUUUAAUGACUCAUUCGGCGCCUUACG